ACGCUCGACACCUACGGAGGCAGCAGUGGGGAAUAUUGCACAAUGGGGGAAACCCUGAUGCAGCGACGCCGCGUGAAGGAAGAAGUAUCUCGGUAUGUAAACUUCUAUCAGCAGGGAAGAAAAUGACGGUAUCUGACUAAGAAGCCCCGGCUAACUACGUGCCAGUAGCCGCGGUAAUCUGAGCGGGCUGGCAAGGC
This 197-nucleotide ribosomal RNA is filed under the name uncultured bacterium. RNAcentral's name for it is "partial 16S ribosomal RNA". It matches the Rfam family "Bacterial small subunit ribosomal RNA", at positions 328 to 539 of the family's 1533-position model. The record is from RNAcentral.